GCCCGGUUAGCUCAAUCGGUAGAGCGUGAGACUCUUAACAGUAACCUCAAAGGUCACUAGCAAUCUCAAGGUUGCGGGUUCGACCCCCGCAUCGGGCU
RNAcentral lists this transfer RNA (98 nucleotides) under Hypoxylon sp. FL1150. RNAcentral's name for it is "tRNA-Lys". It matches the Rfam family "tRNA". From Rfam's summary of the family: Transfer RNA (tRNA) molecules are approximately 80 nucleotides in length. Their secondary structure includes four short double-helical elements and three loops (D, anti-codon, and T loops). Lineage: Eukaryota; Fungi; Ascomycota; Sordariomycetes; Xylariales; Hypoxylaceae. The record is from RNAcentral.